UACAGAGGUCUCAAGCGUUGUUCGGAUUCAUUGGGCGUAAAGGGUGUGUAGGUGGCGCUGUAAGUCGGGUGUGAAAUUUCGGAGCUUAACUCCGAAACUGCAUUCGAUACUGCGGUGCUUGAGGACUGGAGAGGAGACUGGAAUUCAUGGUGUAGCAGUGAAAUGCGUAGAGAUCAUGAGGAAGACCAGUGGCGAAGGCGGGUCUCUGGACAGUUCCUGACACUGAGACACGAAAGCGUGGGGAGCGAACAGG
RNAcentral lists this ribosomal RNA (253 nucleotides) under uncultured bacterium. Its description in RNAcentral is "partial 16S ribosomal RNA". It matches the Rfam family "Bacterial small subunit ribosomal RNA", at positions 524 to 776 of the family's 1533-position model. The record is from RNAcentral.